UGACAUUCACAUAUUUUUAAGUAUGGUUGUGUUUAAUUUAUAAUAAAUUGAUUAAAUUAAUAAGAAUAAAUUAAAUGCAUGCCUUUUUAUAUAGUGUGUUAUGUAAUGCAGUGACAUUAAUAUUUUUUUUUUUUUAAUUUUUAUUUUUUUUUUGAUUUUAAGCAUGGUCAUGUUCAAUUUCUAAUAAAUUGAUUAAAUAAAUUAAGUAAAUUCCCCCAUGAUAAAUAAAUGGCUUUUUAAUACAGUUUUUAAUGACAAAUGAAUAGAGGUGAGUUUGAAACAUGACAGUAGCAGGGGAUUGUGGGACUGUAUAUUUUACCUUUCUCCAUCCUAUCAGUCAGUGUGUCUGUGGCGCUGAUAAUGUUUUCAGCAGACAGCAGAGAGAAUGAUGAAGAUGCCGCAGGAAUGCAGGACUGUGCUGCAGACUGUGAUGGUGGAGCGCUGUAUUUAUGUGGCUGUCCUUAUCAGUAACUCUGGAGAUAAACGCAGUCUGCUGACCACAGCCACAACAGGAACUGAUGUGUUUAUGCUGAAACGCUGUUCCUUAAACACACACACUCAAGUGAGCAGCAGACUUAACCAGGCCUUACAUGGUUCUCACAGUGAUCCUGAGCUGUCAAGUGCUGCGUGUGUUUUUACUCCAUUACAACAAGGAUGUUUCCUGAAUAGCUCAACUAUCAAGCGACUCACAGCGUGA
Long non-coding RNA from Cyprinus carpio (common carp), 697 nucleotides. The record is from Ensembl. Lineage: Eukaryota; Metazoa; Chordata; Actinopteri; Cypriniformes; Cyprinidae.